Molecule: long non-coding RNA, 995 nt
Filed under: Citrus x clementina
Lineage: Eukaryota; Viridiplantae; Streptophyta; Magnoliopsida; Sapindales; Rutaceae
Description: Citrus clementina (C. clementina) long non-coding RNA (CCLE_LNC002605)
Source: RNAcentral
UAUAAAAACAAACAUGUUAUUCAGAUAUUUAUAUUCAUACCCAUUCAAACUUUAAAAAAAUUCAAAAUCAUUCAAAUUUCAAACAAAAAAAUAAAAUUAAAUACUACCUUAGUGUGGCCCAUCUUUGAUUGGAAGAAAUGAUAGAAGGGGAUAGGAAUAGAAAGGAAAGAGGGAAAGAGAAAAUGAGUUAAAAAAAUGAUUAAUCUCAUUUUUAUUGAUUGCUUGGACAUUAAAUUUAUUUUUUCCUCUUAUUUUUUUUAAUUAAAAGAGAAAGAACUAAAAACCAAAAUUUGACAUAUAAGUGAAAAGGAAUUUUUUUUUGAAUAAUAUGAGACUAAUGCUCAAAUUACAACUCAUAUUUUAUGAGAUUUACAACUGAUAUUUACACUCAGAUAAUUAUUGAGACUAAUUUACAUUAAUUCUUAUGUAGCACUGCCCAUAUUUUAUCCCUCUUUAAUAUUCAAGGGGUGUCUACUCUACUCACAUUUCGAAAGAAAGAAGACAUAAAUGCCCACCAAAAGACCACAUCGUAAAAAACAAAUAAUUAGAAGAAAGACAACCUAACUGAAAACAGCUUAGUUGCAUGGUUUGUUUGUAAUAGAACUAUGACUCGUCUCUAUAAGUAUCUACAACCAUGCACGCACAGAGAGUGAGAGAUCGAAAAGAUUUUGUUUGAUACCUCGUUUGGUGGUUGGCAUUUAGUUUCAAAUUGACGGGGCGACUUUUGUAGAGUAGAAUGGAAUAAGAAAUUGAGUGGCCACUGGCAAUUGGCAAAAGCAGAAGAAAAAAAAAAAAAAAAGAAGAGGAGGAUGUGUUUUCCCACCAGGGGCGGACCCAGGAAUUUGUAUUACCCCGGGCUAAAUUAAAAAAUUUAUAUUUUAAAGUGAGCAUAAAAAUUUAUAAGUAGAAAAAAUUGCAUCAAAUAAGGGGGGCACGAAAAAUCUUAUCGCUAUAAGUUAUAAACAAAAAUAGUUAUAUAAAAAGAGUAGAAAACA